Molecule: unclassified non-coding RNA, 500 nt
Filed under: Hevea brasiliensis (rubber tree)
Lineage: Eukaryota; Viridiplantae; Streptophyta; Magnoliopsida; Malpighiales; Euphorbiaceae
Source: RNAcentral
AGCAGGUCUACCAGAAAAUUAUUCUGAUGUUAGCAUUGUCAUGACUGCAGAAGUUUUUACCAUCUUCUCUUGACUUGCUAUCCUAUCCUCUUGCUCAUGAAUCAAGAGUUCAAUCUUCUACACCACCACCCAUCCAAAAUACCCAAGUAUUUUGUGCCAAUAGAGGACGUGGCCAUGGCUGUGUUUACAAUAAUCAAGGAAGCCAAAGUCACUGAAAUUUCUAAUGACAAAGGACGCAGUACACAACUUUUCUUUUCUUUUCUAUCUCAUAGUUAUUUAAAUGACCACCUACCUUCUUAUUUCACAUCAAAUUUUCGUCCUCCCACACCAUUUGACAAUCAUCCCUAUUCUUCAUCCUCUUUAUCAAUUCUUGAAAUCCCUCCACUUCAAUGUCAACUUUGUGACAAUUUUUAUCAUACUGCGAAAAAUUGUCCUCACUGUGAGCAACAAUUAAUUACUCCCUCUUCAUUAAUAUCCAAAACCAAUCUUCUUAAAAUUGG